GGCACUGUGGCUCAGCAGGUUAAAGCCCUGGCCUGCAAUGCCAGCGUCCCAUAUGGGUGUGGGUUCAAGUCCUAGCUGUUCCA
This 83-nucleotide transfer RNA is filed under the name Oryctolagus cuniculus (rabbit). It matches the Rfam family "tRNA". Rfam says of the family: Transfer RNA (tRNA) molecules are approximately 80 nucleotides in length. Their secondary structure includes four short double-helical elements and three loops (D, anti-codon, and T loops). The record is from Rfam by way of RNAcentral. Lineage: Eukaryota; Metazoa; Chordata; Mammalia; Lagomorpha; Leporidae.